UGACGGCGCCCCGGAGCGCCGCUCAGCCAAUGGCCGCCGCUCUUCGUUUCUGGACACGCCCUCUUCAAAAGGACAGCCAGAGGUCCCUUCCUCUGAGGCUUUGGACGCUUGCCUGCUUCUAUUUCUCAGGAACAGAUAAGCCUAAUCCUUCGAGAGAAAGGCCUAAGCCCAUGAAUCAUUAAACAAUACGAAUACCACAGGGCAGUUAGUUUUCAGGCACCGUCUACGUUUAGGGUCCUUGGAGGCCACAGGACAUGAGAUCCUCUGAUGGGUGGGAAGUUGUGAUGAGUUACUAAGAGAAGGUAUGGUGAGCUCUUAGUUCAGUACUUGGCUUAUAAUAAAUGCUCAAGGAGUGAGAAUUCAUGGUGCUGCGGUCGAAAGCUUACACAUGAGUUCUGAGAGUGAACAUCUCCAGCCCUCAAAAUUGUUGUCCUGUCCUACUCUGCUGUUACAACCUAGCCAUCGCAUGUUGACAAACUCCUAUCAGGAAUGCACAGCAGGCUUCACGUUAUGUUUCUGAGAUUUACUAUGUAGACCCUCGGAGACCACAUGUGUGGUAGUACACUGAGGAGGAUCAGGAAUCCAGUGUUAGCCUGAGCUAUGUAAGGAGAAACCUACUUCAAAGCAAACAAGGACCGGUGGGCGGAGCAACCUAAGUGCUUCGUUUUACUCUUUACUGGUCCAUAUUGCAGUUGUCGAGAAAAGUAAUCUGCAUUUCUUCUGGGUGUGAAAGAAAGGACUACAAACCAGAAGAACUUGCAAAGUCAUUACUAGCCCAUUAAGAUUGUGACAUCUGAUCCCAGCCAGUGGGGAAAACACAAUCACCACCUUCCUCAGAAUAAAAGCCAGGAACUUCCUGCCCAGGACUCGGGCGCUAGGCUGCUGACAUAUCCCAGUACCAUGGGGCUGGCUAUUGUUUGGUACUGGAAGAGGCCAGUGGAACCAUGGUUCCUUCCUGCCAGAGGAAAGCUGUUCCUAUCCACUCUAGAAUUGCUUGUUUAUAAAAAGUGUCAACUGUGA
Long non-coding RNA from Rattus norvegicus (Norway rat), 1020 nucleotides. RefSeq lists it as uncharacterized. Lineage: Eukaryota; Metazoa; Chordata; Mammalia; Rodentia; Muridae. The record is from RefSeq and is a predicted model, not a curated record.